UCUACGGGAGGCAGCAGUGGGGAAUAUUGCGCAAUGGGGGCAACCCUGAUGCAGCGACGCCGCGUGAGUGAGGAAGUAUUUCGGGAUGUAAAGCUCUAUCAGCAGGGAGGAAAAUGACGGUCCCUGCCUACGACGCCCCGGCUAACUACGGGCCAGCAGCCCCGGUAAUCCGUAGGGGGCAAGCGUUAGCCGUGUGUAUUGGGUGUACAGUGAGCGGAUACGGCUAAUCAAGUCAGAAGUGAAAACCCAGGGCUCAACAUUGGGAGUGCUUUUGAAACUGAGUAGCUAGAGUGCAGGAGAGGUAAGCGGAAUUCCUAGUGUAGCGGUGAAAUGCGUAGAUAUUAGGAGGAACACCAGUGGCGAAGGCGGCUUACUGGACUGUAACUGACGUUGAGGCUCGAAAGCGUGGGGAGCAAACAGGAUUAGAUACCCUUGUAGUC
This 440-nucleotide ribosomal RNA is filed under the name uncultured bacterium. Its description in RNAcentral is "partial 16S ribosomal RNA". It matches the Rfam family "Bacterial small subunit ribosomal RNA", at positions 338 to 795 of the family's 1533-position model. The record is from RNAcentral.